RNAcentral lists this ribosomal RNA (468 nucleotides) under uncultured bacterium. Its description in RNAcentral is "partial 16S ribosomal RNA". It matches the Rfam family "Bacterial small subunit ribosomal RNA", at positions 28 to 507 of the family's 1533-position model. The record is from RNAcentral.
GACGAACGCUGGCGGCGUGCUUAACACAUGCAAGUCGAACGGAAAGGCCCUGCUUUUGUGGGGUGCUCGAGUGGCGAACGGGUGAGUAACACGUGAGUAACCUGCCCUUGACUUUGGGAUAACUUCAGGAAACUGGGGCUAAUACCGGAUAGGAGCUCCUGCUGCAUGGUGGGGGUUGGAAAGUUUCGGCGGUUGGGGAUGGACUCGCGGCUUAUCAGCUUGUUGGUGGGGUAGUGGCUUACCAAGGCUUUGACGGGUAGCCGGCCUGAGAGGGUGACCGGCCACAUUGGGACUGAGGUACGGCCCAGACUCCUACGGGAGGCAGCAGUGGGGAAUAUUGCACAGUGGGCGGAAGCCUGAUGCAGCAACGCCGGGUGCGGGAUGACGGCCUUCGGGUUGUAAACCGCUUUCGCCUGUGACGAAGCGUGAGUGACGGUAAUGGGUAAAGAAGCACCGGCUAACUACGUG